RNAcentral lists this transfer RNA (69 nucleotides) under Ipnops sp. auip01. RNAcentral's name for it is "tRNA-Ser". The record is from RNAcentral. Lineage: Eukaryota; Metazoa; Chordata; Actinopteri; Aulopiformes; Ipnopidae.
GAGAGAGGCCCGACGGCAGUAAGGACUGCUAAUCCUUUACCUCCGCAGUUAGACCCCGCGGCUCACUCG